Molecule: ribosomal RNA, 1790 nt
Filed under: uncultured eukaryote
Lineage: Eukaryota
Description: SSU rRNA
Rfam family: Eukaryotic small subunit ribosomal RNA
Source: RNAcentral
AACCUGGUUGAUCCUGCCAGUAGUUAUAUGCUCGUCUCAAGGAUUAAGCCAUGCAUGUCUCAGUAUAAGUAUUUGACUGCGAAUCUGUGAAUGGCUCAUUAAAACAGUUAUCGUUCCUUUGGUGGUAUCAUAGUAGUUGGAUAGCUAUGGAAAUUCUAGAGCUAAUACGUGCUUAGCAUCCCGACUUAUUGGAGGGCUGGAUCUAUUAGAUACCGAACCGAUCCGGGUACGCCUGUCUUUCAGUCGAUUCAUAAUAUUUUUUCGAAUCGUUCUAUUGUGCGAUACGCUUUUUAAGUUUCUGACCUAUCAGUUUCCGUCGAUAGGGUACUGGCCUACCGUGGCUUUGACGGGUAACGGAGAAUUAGGGUUUGAUUCCGGAGAGGGAGCAUGAGAAAUGGCUACCACAUCUAAGGAAGGCAGCAGGCGCGUAAAUUACCCAAUCCCAAUCAAGGGAGGUAGUGACAAGAAGUACCAAUAUAAGGCGUAUUCGCUUUAUAAUUGGGAUGAGCACAUCCUAAAUUACCUUGCGAGUAUCAAUUGGAGGGCAAGUCUGGUGCCAGCAGCCGCGGUAAUUCCAGCUCCAAUAGCGUAUAUUAAAUCUGCUGCGGGUUAAAACGCUCGUAGUUGGAUGUCUGUUUCGGAAAACUCAGGUCCACCCAAGUGGUGUGUAUCUGAAUCAACCGUGACAAGAAACUCGCGAACAUGCAUGCACUUAAUUGUGCGGCGAGAUCUCGAGAACGCUUACUUUGAGGAAAUGAGAGUGCUCCAAGCAGGCUAUGGCCUUGCAUACGUUAGCAUGGAAUAAUAGGACAAGACGUUGUUCCGAAGUGGUUAGUUUUCGGUCCGAUGUAGUACUAAUAGAAGUAGUUGAGGGCAUUCGUAUUUAAUUGCUAGAGGUGAAAUUCUUGGAUUUUUUAAAGACGAGCUACUGCGAACGCAUCUGCCCAGGAUGUUCUUCUUGAUCAAGAACGAAAGUUAGGGGAUCGAAGACGAUCAGAUACCGUCCUAGUCUUAACCAUAAACCAUGCCGACUAGAAAUUGGGGUUGUCAGAGUCUUGACGUCUUCAGCAACUUAGGAGAAAUCAAAGUCUUUGGGUUCCGGGGGGAGUAUGGUCGCAAGACUGAAACUUAAAGGAAUUGACGGAAGGGCACCACCAGGAGUGGAGCCUGCGGCUUAAUUUUGACUCAACACGGGGAAACUUACCAGGUCAAAGACAUAGAGGGGAUUGACAGACUGACAGCUCUUUCUUGAUUUUAUGGGUGGUGGUGCAUGGCCGUUCUUAGUUGGUGGAGUGAUUUGUCUGGUUAAUUCCGUUAACGAACGAGACCUUCACAUACUAACUAGUGUCCAGAACUUUAUGUUUCAGGGAACUUCUUAGAUGGACUUCGUGUGUUUAGCACGAGGAGGUGGGAGGCGAUAGCAGGUCUGUGAUGCCCUUAGAUGUCCUGGGCUGCACGCGCGCUACACUGAUGCGUCCAUCUAGAGCCUCACCUACUCAGGAGUGAGCGGGUAACCUUUUCGAAGCGCAUCGUGAUGGGGAUAGACUAUUGCAAUUAUUAAUCUUGAACGAGGAAUUCCUAGUACGCACAAGUCAUCACCUUGUUCUGAUUACGUCCCUGCCCUUUGUACACACCGCCCGUCGCUCCUACCGAUCGAGUAUUCCGGUAAAUAAUUUGGAGUGCAGCAACGUUCAGAAAUGGAUCCCGCUGCGUGAAGAUUCGUAAACCUCAUUACUUAGAGGAAGGAGAAGUCGUAACAAGGUUUCCGUAGGUGAACCUGCAGAAGGAUC